GGUGGUAGGGAGUCCGAAAGGUGACCGACCCUUCGGGAGCCAUUACAGGUGUUGCAUGGCUGUCGUCAGCUCGUGUCGUGAGAUGUUCGGUUAAGUUCGCUAACGAGCGCAACCCUCGCUGUGUGUUAUAUGUGUCACACAGGACUGCUGGGUAUUAAGCCGGAGGAAGGUGGGGACGACGUCAAGUCAGCAUGACCUUUAUAUCCAGGGCUACACACACGCUACAAUGGUCAGUACAAUGGGUUGCCAAGCCGCGAGGCGGAGCCAAUCCUAAAAAGCUGGCCUCAGUUCAGAUUGCAGUCUGAAACUCGACUGCAUGAAGUCGGAGUUGCUAGUAAACGCAGGUCAGCUAUACUGCGUUGAAUACGUUCCCGGGGCUU
Molecule: ribosomal RNA, 380 nt
Filed under: uncultured Anaerolineaceae bacterium
Lineage: Bacteria; Bacillati; Chloroflexota; Anaerolineae; Anaerolineales; Anaerolineaceae
Description: bacterial SSU rRNA
Rfam family: Bacterial small subunit ribosomal RNA
Source: RNAcentral